RNAcentral lists this ribosomal RNA (1272 nucleotides) under Kocuria sp. Its description in RNAcentral is "bacterial SSU rRNA". It matches the Rfam family "Bacterial small subunit ribosomal RNA", at positions 112 to 1394 of the family's 1533-position model. The record is from RNAcentral. Lineage: Bacteria; Bacillati; Actinomycetota; Actinomycetes; Micrococcales; Micrococcaceae.
AAUACGUGAGUAACCUGCCCUUGACUCUGGGAUAAGCCUGGGAAACUGGGUCUAAUACUGGAUACUACCUCUUACCGCAUGGUGGGUGGUGGAAAGGGUUUUACUGGUUUUGGAUGGGCUCACGGCCUAUCAGCUUGUUGGUGGGGUAAUGGCUCACCAAGGCGACGACGGGUAGCCGGCCUGAGAGGGUGACCGGCCACACUGGGACUGAGACACGGCCCAGACUCCUACGGGAGGCAGCAGUGGGGAAUAUUGCACAAUGGGCGGAAGCCUGAUGCAGCGACGCCGCGUGAGGGAUGACGGCCUUCGGGUUGUAAACCUCUUUCAGUAGGGAAGAAGCGAGAGUGACGGUACCUGCAGAAGAAGCGCCGGCUAACUACGUGCCAGCAGCCGCGGUAAUACGUAGGGCGCAAGCGUUGUCCGGAAUUAUUGGGCGUAAAGAGCUCGUAGGCGGUUUGUCGCGUCUGCUGUGAAAGCCCGGGGCUCAACCCCGGGUCUGCAGUGGGUACGGGCAGACUAGAGUGCAGUAGGGGAGACUGGAAUUCCUGGUGUAGCGGUGAAAUGCGCAGAUAUCAGGAGGAACACCGAUGGCGAAGGCAGGUCUCUGGGCUGUUACUGACGCUGAGGAGCGAAAGCAUGGGGAGCGAACAGGAUUAGAUACCCUGGUAGUCCAUGCCGUAAACGUUGGGCACUAGGUGUGGGGGACAUUCCACGUUUUCCGCGCCGUAGCUAACGCAUUAAGUGCCCCGCCUGGGGAGUACGGCCGCAAGGCUAAAACUCAAAGGAAUUGACGGGGGCCCGCACAAGCGGCGGAGCAUGCGGAUUAAUUCGAUGCAACGCGAAGAACCUUACCAAGGCUUGACAUUCACCGGACCGCCCCAGAGAUGGGGUUUCCCUUCGGGGCUGGUGGACAGGUGGUGCAUGGUUGUCGUCAGCUCGUGUCGUGAGAUGUUGGGUUAAGUCCCGCAACGAGCGCAACCCUCGUUCUAUGUUGCCAGCACGUGAUGGUGGGGACUCAUAGGAGACUGCCGGGGUCAACUCGGAGGAAGGUGGGGAUGACGUCAAAUCAUCAUGCCCCUUAUGUCUUGGGCUUCACGCAUGCUACAAUGGCCGGUACAAAGGGUUGCGAUACUGUGAGGUGGAGCUAAUCCCAAAAAGCCGGUCUCAGUUCGGAUUGAGGUCUGCAACUCGACCUCAUGAAGUCGGAGUCGCUAGUAAUCGCAGAUCAGCAACGCUGCGGUGAAUACGUUCCCGGGCCUUGUACACACCGCC